UAGGAUACGAGCUGCUGGGCUAAAAGCUCACACAUCUUUGAGUCUUUAUUUCCACUUCAAAGUUGCCGCUUUAGUCCAUUUAGUAAAAUUCAGAAGAAUAUGUAGUCAGACAGUAAGUGCAUAUAUAUUUCAUGUUGUUUUGAGUUUCCCAAUCUUCUAAACUUACAUUUGUGCGAUGUCACUAAGCAUUGUAGUAUAUGAGCUUUCAGUUUUCUUAGUCGCCCACACCCCCCUUGCCAGGAAAAUGAAUUCUUCUUAACAGAAUCAACCUGCACAAGCAUUCACAGCAAAGAUCUCUCUGACUGUAGUUUAGUAAUAAUGAAGUUUUACUUUCCUCCUUGUCCUUGUUGAAUUGGUUCGGUAUAUGAUCCUAGCUACAUGGCCGUAGAUGGAUUCAUGUCCACAUAUUUAUUUGAUUAGAGAUGAGGAGCAAAAGAAUCAAGAGUUUAUCUUUCUUUAAGCAAUGAUAAUUUGUUUGAAGCCUUUUUUUUUUUUUUUUUUUGGCUUCUCAUGGUCAAUUAUGUGUUCAGUGUUCUAUUUACUACUGAAUGAUACAAGACUACUCUAAUAAGAUAACUUGAGCAUUUCCCAUACAUUAACAACUAUUUUGUAAAGACAGUUAGAGAAAAACAAGCUGUGAAACCAUGCUCGGAUCAUCAUAAUUGUUCUGAAAAAAUAUGUUAGUGCAACAUAGAAAGCACUGUUGUUAUAAAAGCAACCCUAGCUAGCUAAAAGGUUUUUUUUUUAUUUAUUUAAAAAUAUUCAAUUAGUUUCUUAAAAAUGCAAUAGUUAGCUGAGCGUCGUGCUUUUCAUCAAAUCAGCUCCAUCAUCUUUAGCUUCUACUUAUAGGUAAAAUGGAAGAGUUUUUGCUGCUUUGGUUGAUUCUUUUUCCAGAUUCUAUUAGGUUGGAUGCGCAAGUCUUCAAUCCUAUAAUUGAAAUGCUAUCUUCUGUUUUCGAAGUUUUAAGGAAAUAGUUUCCAUUUCUUGGGAGUUGGGUGGAAUCAGGGAGAACAAUGCUCAAGCUACAGUCAUGUCUAAGAUAUAUUCUUCAUAACAAUUGUUGCGAAGAAACAUGAACGAACACUUAAUUUGGAAAUUUUUUUUUUUUUAAAGUUGUUUAAUUUUGGAAAACUGAUUUUGCACAUUCACCCUUGACAUCAUUUUUUAGCUAAUUAUUAUAUUAGUUUGGCAACCAAAUAUUCCGCCAUUAGUCUAUUGUCAAACUGAUGCAAAAUAAUAUGUUUAAAGCUUAAAGAGUCAUUCAAAUUGCAAAGGGAAAAAAAAGAAAAGAAAGAUAAAUAAUGGAUGCAUGCCUUUUUGUUUAUUGCUGUGGUCUAAACUGAGGCAGUUAAUACUCUUGUUUAUAUAGAUGACAGGCAGUGUUGUUGUGUUAGUAAAGGUAUAUAUUAGGGGUUUAAUUUUGUCUGUAAAGAUGAAUAUUACACGUUUGCGUGAAAGCUUAUCAAAUUUAGUCCUUGCUAUUAUAUAACUUGAACUUUAUUUCGAAAUAAAUAUUGUUGUUGCUGUUGGAAGGUUUAAGCAUCAGCUUAUUUGUGUUACUUUUGGGAAGAUCGAUGAUGUGAAUCACUGGUUCCUUGCUGAGCACUAAAUCGAAUGGCUUGGAGAUAUUAUUCUUUCUCUAAUUCUAAUUAGGUAGGCAGCCAAGGAGGGUAUCUCCAGAUAUAUCGUCAUUUUGUUUAACAAGCCAAAUUAAUUAACUUGAUUGAUAACUGCAGGCUGUGUGGAUGCAGGACCUUUAAUUUGAUCGCAAACGUAGCCCUUUGGCGUUGAUCACUGAUCGAUGUCAUUUACAUGCUGAAACAGAACCCCGAUAUCAGUGCUGCUAGCUGAUGUUCUUCACAGACUGAUGCCAUGCGGGGCCGGGGAUACAUACAUACAUAUAUAUAUGAUCCCAAAAAAGAAGAAGAAGAAGAAGAAGAAGAAAGGCGCGCAGUGUUGUAGGUAGUGUUGUACGUAUCAUAAACGCUGAACGAAGACACUCCAUGAAAUGACAACCGAUUGUAAUCAUCAUCUGUUGAUUCCAUUCCACACCUAUUAUUAGAUUUUGAAUAGGAGGGACGUUUGCUCGGAUUAACUUGCACCACCACCAGGGUGGUCAGUGAGAUCGAUCGACAGUCACUGCAGCCUUAUUAGUUCAUAUAUACGACCGUAUUCUUGUUAAGUUAUUACUAGUACUCUACUAUUACCCGCCCAGAUCGAGAGGAUAUAUAAGUACUAUGGUAUAGUUAACUUGUUCGAUUUCUUUCAUUUUAUCCAAAUAAAAGAUGACUACACAUAUGCAAGUACAUGUGUAUUUCUUGCUCUGCGAAUUAGCUAGGUGACAUAUCAUUGCAGUUAUCGUUGACGGAAGAUGCUGCUGGGGUCGAAAAGAGGUUGUAUAUAUUCUGUACUAGUUACUACUACCACACCACAAUUGAAUUAAUAGGAGCAAAAAUAGUACGUACGGAAAAGGCUUAAUUAAAAGCUGGGUGCGGAAGGCCUGGAGGGGUUUCCUCGUGCCUAUAAUUGCAUGCCAUGCUUAGUUGCUCAACUGGCCGCUGAGUGAAAGUGCAAACCAUAUCCCAUCAUCAUUUCCACUUUCUAGCUAAUUUCGAUGUACCACUGCUCAUCUUACUCGCCAGUCACCACUCUCUGCAUGUGUAUCAUCCUAUAGUCCGGUGGUAGACCUUAGAUUAGACGAGGGCUUUUUUUUCUUCUUUCCUUUUUUGAAGGAGUUUAAUUGGGGGCAGUACCGGUACGUAGUAGGGGACCCUAGCCUAUAUACAUGAGGAGGAGGCGUGAUAUAUGUAUGUAUGAAAUGCUUGUACAUUUAAUUCAGUACUGAAUCUUGAAAGACGUGGAAAGUUAUUUAGGCCAGUAGCUAGCUAAAGGCUAAAGCUUGUGUAUACGUAGUAGGUCAUCUUUUGGCAAAGCAAACUAGCAAAGCAGUCAGCAGCAAACCAGACCCAGACCCAGGUCUCUGCAAAAAAGUCAGCCACUGCCCGCUCUGAUUCCCGCUGCGUUGUACUUGUACACUCUCCUCUUCUUCUAUAGUACCAUAUAGUAUAGUAAGUUGUCUGCAUUUGUCGCUGGGGACAAAGCUAACGGAACCAGAGCUUUUCCACGUACUCUUAGCGCUCUAACCUGGUUCCGCAUUUCAGUAGUGUUUCGCUACUUACUCUGAUCUGAUGCCGCCCGAAGUACUACCACAUCCCUUCAUUUUUAUUCGUCAGUAUUGUGCCUACACUUUGCACCUCAAAACAAAGACAUCUUCUUGUUCUUGAGCCAGCAGUGUAGGCAUCAACCUUAGCUGACGAUUUGUGGUCGCAAACUGUUGUCAAUAUACCGUAUAAAACCUUGACAUCGUUAUCAAUGGGUAGAACACUUUUUUUUUUUUUUUUUUUCUAAAUAAAGGCUUUAUAUUUAACAAUUUUUCUACGAGACGCUUUAAGUCUAUUUUUCCUUAACUUUUUUUCCCCUAAAACCUAAAUAUUAUGUGAAUUCUGGACGAGGGAAUGAUUAUUUUACCAAAUUGUGAUGCAAUUUUAAUUUUUUUUAAAAAACAUAUGCACAUAUUGUGUAUACACUAUUUUUUCCUCUACCUUUUCAAAGAUUUGUUUUUAAAGCAUACUUUUUCCUUAAUAUGUUGUAGUUAAAUAACUAAAAUAGCAUGCCACCAUUUUUUUAAAAAAAAAAAUUCUACAAUAUAAGAAAAUAUUUAGAUACAUACCAAUUAGUGGUAACUUAUGUACAUAGGUUUGGUAAAUAGCACACAUCAAUGUAGUACAUUUCAUAUAAAACAAUACGUUCAAUGUUGUCAAAUUUUUUUAAGCAAAAAUAUCCAACAAAAACCCAUCCAAAAUACUACCUUCAUUUCAAUCUCAUGACUAUAUAUACAAAAAUUCAUCAACGGACGAAAACAAAGAACUAGGAGAGGAAGCAUGGGGUUGUGCAUAAUUUCGGGAAAAUGAGGAGGAGGAUAAGAAGGAACAGUGUAGAGCAAUUGAGAGAGAUAGCAUAUUCAGUAAAAUAUUUCAUUUAAUUUUCCUCUGUCCUUUCUUCCUUCUUUUCAUCCUUAAGUUAUAUUGUUAAUUACUUGCGUAAAAUAUUUAGUCAUCAUAUUAUAAUAUAAGAAAUUAAAAAGUAUAUAUUUACUGGAAAGAAUUAAUUAAGUUUCUAUUUUGUUAAUAAUCCCUGAUUAUUAUCAUUUUUUUUUCCUAUUUUGGAUUACCAAUCAAUGCAUUACCAAGAAAAUUGUAAUUGCAUUUUAAAGAAGAUAAAAAAAAACUUAUGAUCAUUAGUUGCUAAUUGCUCUACGGAUGGAAUGAGGCGUUCAGCUAAAAUAAUUUGUGAUAUUGAUCUCACAUGCAUAAUUCAAACACUUUGAUGCAUAUAAUUUUGAUCUGAGUAAUAAAUUUGUUUGUUUUUAAAAUAAGUAAAUUUUAUGUGUAUUAUCAGUGUAUACACUAUCAUGAUUAAAUUAAUGAUUCAUAAGCUAAAUUUGGAUUUUAAAUACAAGUUUGGAUUGGUUGUCAUGUAUUCAAUGCUGAUAGUAUAUAUAUAUGAAUAUAAAAGUAAUUCUUUUAAAAUUCAUUCAUUAAUCUCACUGGUAUAAGAAAGCAAAUGUAUAAUCUAAGCUAUGCCCUUGAAUAUUUUGUUUGGCUUAGUUGUAAUUUUUAAAAAUUAAUUUGGAAAAUUUGUCUCGAGGGUUUAUGUCAUAUUAUAAUGAAAAGAAUACAUGCCGAUCAUUUAAUUUUGUUGACUAACAGAAUUUUUUCUAUCUUUUCAAAUUCUUGAACAUUAUCAGAAGCGGGACAAUAUAACGACUACGUAUGAUUGACAAUGUAAUUGCUAGCUUGGCUUAUAUUUUUCCUUUUUGUUUUGCUAGCCCUAGUUUAAUAUCAAAGACUUAACUGCUGAACCUGCGCAAUUACCGGAUUGGAGCAUAUAUUUGAUAGGUUAGUCAGCUUUAUGCAAUCUAUGAUAGAAUAUAGGGUAAAUUACCUUUAACCAUUGUGUGGUUUGAUACUUUACCAUAUGAUUCUCUAUAGUUUAAAAAUCUAUACAUAAUCUUUUCAUAGUUUCAACUAAAGUUUCAUCGCUAGAUCUUUUUGUUAAAAUUGACUGUCAGUAUUAAAAGUCAAAGUCAAAUUAGUAGAUUGACAAAUUCACCCUUUCAUUAUUUUUUUCUCCAAAUACAAAAAAUAAAAAAAAAUAACAAGUGGACAAGUGAGAAAUAGAAAAUACCAAAUCUUUAAUGAUUGAAAUAUCUUUUUUAUUUAUUCUUUUCUAAUGGGGGGAAGAGUAGGAUUUAAGAAGUGGGGAGGGAGUAGGGGGAUUUGAACACAAGACCUCUAAAUCCUGAAAUUUUAAUUUUAGUCACUAGAUCAAUACCUCUUCUCUAAUGAUUGCAAAUAUUAUUAUAGGUUUUAAUUUAUACCAAAUCUUUAGUGACUGCAAAUCUUUAACAGUAUCUUGUAUAUCUUAUUUAUCUAUUCUUUGUUGUAUUUAUGGAUAGUUAAUAUUUGUUACAAUUUACUAGGCCAAAGUAUAGUUUUCUAAAAUCAUCUCUAAUCUCUUUCCAAAGGGAACAAAAAAAAAGGAAAAAAGAAAAACAAAUCAGUGAAAGGAUAAAUUUGUCAAUUUACUAGUUUGACUUUGGCUUUUUGAUAUUAACAGUUAGUUGUAAUGGCAAAACUAAUGGUGACAAUUUAACCCAUACCAUGAAAGCUGUGUUUUUAAACUCGGAUCGGACUGGCCGGUCGAACCGAGAACCGGCCAAGUGUUCGGUCCGAGUUGUUCUUCAAAACCGGAAGACUAAAAACCCGGUCAAAAACCGGAAAAACUGGGAAAAAACAUGAAAAAUCUCACAUAUUUCAUACUUUAUAAAUGUUGUCCUAAAAUUUGAUGUUAUUUUUCAAUCAAAUCCAUAAUUUUAAUUCUAAAGUUGUUAAUGUUCAUUAAAUAAUUUAAAUUGCUACUUGAUUAUUCUAGUUUCUUUGUAUUUUCUUGUUAAAUAUAUUUGAAACAUCAAAUAUAUAUGAAUAUACCUUUAUUAAUAUUAACAUACUUUUAGAUAUUUUAUAUACAAUAUUUUAAUUUUUGAAUAAUUUUUAUUUAUGACAUCAUCCGGUUCAACCCGGAUCAAAUCCAUUGACCCCUGACCCCUGAGUUUGGCCGAGUCGAUACCCGGUCCGAGUCUGAAAACAUAGCAUGAAAGGGUUAUGUAUAGGUAAUUAAAUGAUAGGAGGGUAAAAGAUAAUUUACCCAAAACUUGUUGUGCAUAUGAUAUGGUUCAUGAGUGCAAAAAAUUGAAUGAAAGUUUCUUCCUCUGGUUUGUCUUUCCUUGCAUUGCUUAUUUGCUAUUUCUUUUGUCCAUGGAUUUUGUUUUGCAGUUACUUCGGCCAUUUGCCUCUAAUUUAAAUAACGUUUUAUUUACUUUUGAAUACAAAUUUUGGGCAGCUGACAUUUCACCGUUAAGUUGUGUCUUACAUGAUCCUUUUAAACAUCAUUUUAAUUAAUUUCAAUUCCAACAACUAGACUCUAUUCAUUCUUUUUGCAAUUUAUUCGGUCCAGUUUAUUGCAUUCCUACUGCCAAACUUAGCAGAUGUUGGUAAUUUUGUUUUAACAUGGUUGUUAUUUUUAAUUGUUAAAUGAUAUCUGUAUAACAGAUCAUGAGAAGGAUUUGAAUGCAAAUUUGGAUAUGCAAUGUAACCGUUUCUUAAUUUGUUACCUACCAUGAUCAGAAUGCACCAAAAAAAAAAGUCGAACAAGCAAUAUGUACAAAGACUGAGGAUGCUACCUGCAUUGUUCAUUAUAUGGAUGGAUCAGUCUCACAAUUGAUUAUUAUUAUUAUUAUGAUGUAAAAACUCUCUUGUGAGUCUUCAUUGAUUAUAUGGAUGGAUCACUCUGUUUUUUGUUUUGUUUUGGGUUUGUUUGUGGGGGUACGUGGCUAUCUUGAAAUCUUGGUCCAUUAUCAACCACUCUUCGUCCUUUUGGUGUGCCUGGCUCCCCUGCACAAAAAAUAAAAAUAGAAACCAGAGACGAUAAGUGGAGUAUGCCACAAUACUGAUGCUAAUAUUGGAAUUGGAAACCAGAGAGGAAGUAGUCCCCUCCCUAGACGUGUAAAGAAAUCACCUCCCUAGUCCCUCCCCGUAUAUGUAGGCUAUAAAUGUAGGCUUUAUACUAAAAAUAAUUGUAGUUUAGCCUGUUGGUCUAGCUGUAGAAUAGAGGGCAUGAGCUAGGACGUAGGAGACGUAGGCUUCAUCAAUUAAUGACCACAGUAAAGAAAGAAAAGCUAUUUAAAAAAAAAACGAGUAAGAAAAGAAGGGCAAUACGUGGAGCGCGCUUUUAAAAUUAAAAGUACAAGUUGGUCGUGGCGAUCACCCCAGAUGGAACACAGAAGCGUGCAUUCUACUCGAGAGAAGACGGCAACACUGGCAAGUGCAAAUUAUUGCAGAAAGAGCAAGUGCAAAUUACAGUGAAGUGAGAUGGUGAAUUUUUGAGUAUGGACGGACCACGUUGGUAUUUCAAUGCAACAGUAACAGAUGAUGACCCGUGAAUUGAUGAUUCUUUUUCUCCUUUCCGUCCAUCUUCUCUUUGGCCAUCUCUGAUCUCCCCCCUUUCUUUCCUGAAUCAGCACAUUGCUACCCACUUUUCAAAGUAUACUUGCUUCUCCAAUUCGUCCCUCCUCAGCUAACUCCUCUGUUCCCUCCUUUACUCCGACUACGUCGUACUGAUCAUGAUUUCUUCUUCUUCUUUUUUUUAAAAAAAAAAAAAAAAAUCUUCUUCUUCCCUUGAAAAACACGCAGCACACAGACAUAUGCAUAAAUAAAGAGAGAGAGAGAGAGAGAAAAGGAGGACUAGAUACAUAAACGUACGUCUUUGGAAACCGGUAAGGAAGGGAAAAAGGAGAUGCAGGCUUGGCGAAACAAAAAGUGAUGCUAAAAAAGUAAACACUGGCCAAUAUCCUCGGUUUCGUGCAAUCUUAGCAGCAAGUAGUGUAAUAAUUGAAAUUUGUGUUAUAAAAAAAAAAAAAAGACAACAAAUGAGUGUUUAUGGCAGGGGAUCAGGAGCAAAAGGGGAGAGCCGCCGGACAAACCCCCCAUUCUUCCCCCAAGAAAUCCAACCCAACCUGAAUGCCCAGAAAUCACGAAUUGAUCAGAAGGGAACCGGGGAGGUGUGGCUAGCUAGCGUCUGUGCAGGCAUUGACAGAGAAAGAGCAAGUUUAUUUUUUUUUUUUUUUUUGGGGGGGGGGGGCGUGGGGCUUGGGGCCCGAGGGGGGGGGGUGUGGGAAAGAGGAUGGCAGCAGAUCCCAGAAAACAACUUCGCAAUUAUAACGACAUGUAUGUAUAGAUUCUAGGCCGCGGUAAACUGCGACAGCAACUGAUCAUGCUGAGCAGCACAAGCUUCCAUAACCAGCCGUAAAGUUUGCAUGAUGCACUUUCCUCACCACCCCCCCAGCACAACACAAAACACAGCAACCCAAAAAACCCCAAAAGGGGGGAAAAAAAAAAAAGAAAGCCUGGAAAGGAAAAAAAAAAGAAAAUUUAAGCGAAAAAAAGAAAAAGUGUCCAGGAGGAAGAUUCAUGAAUUGUACAGACCUGCAGAACUUUUUCUUUCAGGCCCAUCUCAUCCCGUCCAGAACGAAAACGAUCCAGGUACCCCCACCUGGAUGGAUGGGUCUGGCAAAGCAAACAUGGCAACAUGCACGCCCGCUCCAUGCCUUUCCCCACUGUCCGAAAGGAUACAGCUUUCUCUCCCUCAUUCAUUGCCGAGUACCCCCUGAUGAUUGAUUGUGCUAAGGUAUCCCAAACUGAACCCUCCAUGCACUUUCUCCUGUUGCCAGCCACCCGCUGAUCUGAUCAUUACUCAUCCAUCCUUAACCGUCACCACUCCUCUCACCCGUUCCUUUUUCGUCUCCUUCUUAGCCCUACUUUUGUCUUCACCUACCCCUACCAUCAUCAUCAUCCUCUCUGCUUCAGCUUCCUCCAAUCUCUUUCUCAUUAUUAAUUAUUUCUUCCAAUCUCUCUCUUUUGUGUAUCUGCUCUUUCUUUUUUUUUUUGUUGACCUUUUGGCUUCAAUAUCAUUAUUAUCAUAUUCAUAAUUUGUAAUGAAGAAUGAUUUUUUUUUUCCCUUUUUUUAACACGUACGUGCAUCUGAAUCAAGUAUAUAGCUAGGAUGAAGUUUUGGUUAAGCUAGCUAUAGCAGUGUAGCCUUUUCAACGAUGAGUGAUUAAAUAGUUCAGCACAUUUUCCUCCUUGGCUUUUGAGUUUUGAGUAGACACGGGCCGCAGAAUUAUUCAGCUACGAAACAAAUGGAUACACAAAAGUUCGUUCAUUCAUUCGAGUAAUCUCAAGUUAACUCAUUCAUUCGAGUAAUCUUCAUGGAUUUAAGACUACGUCGUACGUACACCUUGCAAAUGUACUACUCAUCAAUUAGUUAGUUCAAAAUAAGGGAGGUAAGUGGAAAUUGGAAACUUGAGGUGAGGUGUGAAGAACGUGCGUAUAAAUAUAUAAAUUCGUUUUCUUCUCUUAUAUUUUAUUUUCUUUAAUCUUAGGUUGAUGAUAUAAGUAAAUAAAAAUUGAUCAAAUGGAGAUGAUUGACGACGUAAUUAACGUAAUAAAAUAGUGCAAAUUUCAUUCCUUAUGUAUGAUGAUUGACGACCAAUGGGACCGUGAAUUAAUAAUAAUUAGCUGCGUCAUUUAUUUAUAUGAAUGAAUAAUACUAAUGAAUGGGUAUGGGGGGACCGGUUUAAUUCAUUGCCGUAAUAAAAAGUCAUUUCGGGAAGGGUCCCCACGGCUUAAGACUUGCCCAGAUAAUUUGUGUCUGUAGUAGUAAUUGAAUGCCUGAAUCUAUCAUGGGCUGCCAACUGUACGGGUAUUUGCAUCUUUUUAAGCCAUCACCAUAACAUAUAGUAAUUGAUCUCAUGUAGAUGUAGGUAGGGUGAUAUAUAAUUUCCAAUUUGUGUCCUUUGGAUUGGAUGAAGCAUACAUAAAUUAAUAAAUCUGACUGCACCUCAACUUGAUUUUGAGCAUUCUGCGAUUCAAAACUUUUGAGGGAGACCAGGCAACAAUGAAUAUGUGCUGCUACUCUCUUCGAUUCUCGAUUUGAUUUGAAAGAAAACAAAUACGUCGCCAAUUGUUGUUUAGCUAUGGAUCGAGACAACCCUCCUAGCUUACUGUGAGGCCGGCCUGGUCGCCUAAAGGUAGUGGCCCGGCCCAUUUAUCUUGACUGUGUUUGUUACCUGGGGGCAUCUAAAUACAACGUUGCAAGGCAACAGACGGCCUCAUAAAAGGCAGUACUACUAUUCUCUGGACGAGAGACGCACAAUCCCGCACUAAACUUAUCUUAUAACGAGAAUUGAAUGGGCCUUCACUAGCACUAGCUUCAGAUGGGAUGGGGAAAAAAAACGCACAUUCCCUGAUUUUUUAUUUCUUAUUUUUGGCGGCAACAUAAGAGAUUACAUGAGACAGCAGGCAUUUACAUUAUCGUCGUUAAACAUGUUGCUGACCUUGUCGUCUCCCCGUUGAGUGACCGGAAGACUGCCGUGCCUGUCGGCAGCAUUGUAGCCGUGCCUCCAGUAGUUGUAGCUCUCUUUGAAAUCGCUGGUGGUGUCCUUGAAGUAGUUGGUGGUGGAAGUGAAGUAGAGCGGGGGAUUUGGAUAGGGCCAAAACUCUGCCCUCUUUCCCGCCCUUCUCACCGCCGUCAGCACCUUGUUUCGAUCCACGUACCCAAUUACUGUCACCUUAUCCAUCUCCAGCUCUACGUCGACUGAAUCCACCCCUGUACAUACACAUACGUACACAACCUCAAAAAAAAAAAAAAGCCGAUUACCUAGCUACUACUGCUAUUUCUUCUGUUGUUGAACUUGAGGGAGGGAUCAUGCACGUAGUAGUGUCUGACCAGAGAUUGAUUACUCACUUAAUUAGUCAACUGUGUGCGUCUAUACUAAGAAUUAGUAGUAUAUGUGGAAAUUAAAUUCGAUGCUUGUAUAUUGUAGCUAGUAUAAUACUCCUGUGGUUAAAAUAAAAUUAAAUCAGUGACUCAUGAACUACCUCUGAGUUUGUUAAAAUUAAUGAAACUAAUUAUACCUCUGAGUUUGUGGAUGGCGUCCUUGACAACUCUCUCGCAGCCACUGCAGCACAUCCUCACUUUCAGCUCCACUGUCUGCAAACUCAUCCAACCAACACUAGUACGGGUUCUUUAAUAUUCCCCAGAUUAAAUGAUACGCGCUUCGCAGAUUCCCCUUUCCACAAAAGCAUUAACUAUAUAUGCAGGGCUCUUUCUUUUGAUCACAAAAGUAUAUACACCUUAAUUUGUUCCUUUUGAUCGCGGUUACUUACUAAAGCGUUUUCGUCAAUUAAACCUGUGUCUCUGUCUACUUGGUUUAGGGCCUUUAGGUUUCAGUUGUUUAACUCAAGUUUUAUUUUCCUUCCAAAAUAUGUGGAACUGGGAUCCCAUCUGCUUUUGUAGGACGACUGACUACCUUUCUUCUUCUUCUUUCUUCCCUUUUUUUUUUUCUCUUUCCUUCGUUCUUUUUUGCAAGCUAGCUUUGUUCAUUAACUGAAGCAGCCAAUAAUAAUUAAGGAGAUUUCACCAAGGAUGAUUUCACCAAGUUUGUAUGUCAGAUUUUGAGCGACACGGGCUGGUAUUUCCUAGGUUUUGUUACCCUUUUUUCGUCUUUUUGAAGAGGGCAUGCAUGGGAGGUAUCUGCUCGCCACAACAACAGAGUCGUUUUCUCUUCUUCCAUAAAUAAAUAAACGACAACAAAAGAUGUAAAAUUUCAAUCUCUGAAAAAGUCAGAUUUGGGGCCAUGACAUACUUAUUUCAGUUUAGCUGUAUUAGUUACAAAUCUAAUGUAGUCCUUAAUAUACAAGCGACCACCAGUAGCAAACAAAGAUGAACUAGGUAUACGGAGUCAGGGAUACUGACCCUCAUCCUCUUCUAUUGAGUUUUUAUUUUAUUUUUAUCUCUUCUGUUGAGUUGGUUGAAAUUGUCCCAAAUAAUAAUAACAAUAACUAAAUAUAUAAUAGAAGUUUGAUACAAAGUUUAUUUCCGAACAACAACCGGUUCUAAAGGAUAAACCUGAGUACGUAUGUAUGUAUGCAUGUGGAUAAGAUGGAGUAUAUGUAAAACAUGAAGGAUGGAUGGAUGGAUGGAAGUGAAACCUGCAAAGAAAGCGGUCGAGCCUUGGUCUUGGGCAUUUUGUAGCUGAUAUUGUCGUUGUUGGAGCUUUUGGGGCGAUAGUGGUUGGAGUCUUGAUGACGAUGAUAUUGAAAGAAACAGUAGGCAAGAGCUGAGACGACAAAGCCAAAUAGCCUUUCCGGUAGGUUAACCAUUGCCAACAGGUUCCUUCUCUAGAUAUAUAUACUACACCUACUAUGUAAGUAACGUUAUGUAGAGUUACAUUAAUUAGGAAAGAAGAAAGGAGAGACGCAUGGGAAAGGGAAGAACCCAUAAGUAGUAGAAGGCAUCAUUGAUGAGGCUGGCAAAUGCUCUAUUAAAAAUAUUCCUCCAAUCCUAAGGCGCCUCUUCCUUCAGUCCUAAUAUUCUCUUACGGAGUAGUUUUUUUUUUUUUUUCUUCUUCCUCUUGGUAACAUAUUCCCUUCUCCAAUUCAACAAAGCUAAGUAAUCAAGCUGAUCAUGAUAUGACAGUACCACUUUCCCUUUUGUUACCAGUUUCUUGCCUCCACGGGAAUGGUGAGUGUUUAAUUAACAGAUUAUUAGUCGCCAGACCUACGAAGCAUAUUUGAGAAUGAAUAGGCACGUGAGCGUUGUGUACAUACUCAGUGCAUGCAGAAUACUUCCAAUCGAAUCGACAGGUUUAUUCUUUUGUUCUAAAUACCGAAGCCAGUUCUAAAAAGCAGGGGGAGUGGAAUCCAAAACCUGGAAUUUUUUAUUUUAUUUUUUUAAUGCCUGGAAUUGUGUGGGGUUAGCUAAAGCUAAUAUGGCUGCUGACAUUGGAAAAAGAAUAUCAAGCCUGGUGGGAGAUGGAUGGGCUUAAGGAAGUAACAGACGGGCUUUGAUGCGAAGGAAUCAAAUAUUUCUUCAAAAUCUCCUCUUCUUUUCUUUGUAUUUUUUCUGUUUUGCUUCAAUAUCUUGCACAAGUAAACCGAGCCAUGCCUCGGAUGUAUGUAUAUAUAUACAUAUAGUUGAUCCCUUUACGAAAUAACAGAGAAUUCGAAUAAAUUCCUUAACAGUACUCGCUUCAUCGCCCGUGUACUGGUCUUUCCCCGGCCGAUUUAUGAUCGCUUUCUUUCCUUCUCUCUGUCUUUUUUGUUAUGUAAUGUAUGACAUUAACUACGUACUAGGAGGGUUGAGUGUGUAAACAUCUGGACAUACAUGGGAUUCUUCUUCUUAUGUAUAAAGUAUAUUAGGUUUGACAGAUAAUUGCGAUCGAUGUGGUACGUUGUACGAGCUAAGAGGAUCUGAUGCUUUUGGUUCAUGCCUACCAUUAUUAUUGUUCUAUAUACUCGCUCCAAAUCUGACUCUGAGUAUCAUCACAUGACACGAACGAGUUAUAUUAAAUACAAACAAUUGUUCGGGUCUGUGGGCAACGAACGAUAAAAGAACAUCCGGUCUGCCGAAGAACUGUGGAUAACAAGACUUGUUCCUAGUCUUAAUAAAGUUAUAUUAUUGAAGCAAAGAGAAUUAGGUUCUGGUUCGUCAUUUGGUGACGCAAAAGUACUUGCUGCUUUGUAGACUGUUCCUAUCUUUGAUUAUCCGGGAUUGUCACAACAUCACUUUGUUAUCCCCUCUUCCAUUACACCAUCUCUGCCAUACAUUACACUCUGUAGAGUAUAAUAGCGUGGAUCCACAAUCAAAUUAUAUAUUUAUUUUAAUAAUUCACACAAUACAUGUCCCGUAAAAUUUAAAGCUUCUAAAAUUAUCAAAUCAUGACCGUUACACUUUCAGUAUGGGAGCUAUUGCACCCCAUUGUGGAUGGGGAUGAGGUAUCAUUUCACGUCUUCAUUUUGUCUUUGUUUCCUAUUUCGGCUCUAAUAUCUACAUUCCGCAUGUAGAUUAAUCACCAAAAGUUCAAUUCCGUGUUUUCUGAUUUCUUAUUUCACUUUGUUUGAAUAUGAAUCAAAUCUUUUUCCUUUUCCAAUAGCCAUACGCUCUUUCUUCAAUUCAGUUCUCUAUCGACCAACACAAUAAAACGACAAACCAAAAAAAAAAAAAAAAAAAGGAACCCAGAAAACUUAUGGACCUUUUCACCAAUUUAAUAUUUUGGAAAUGCUCUUUUUUUUUUUUAAUCCAAACUUCAAAAUGAGAGAUAGGAAGUAGAAAUGCUAUCGAGUCAAGCCAAACUCGAGUAGUACCAUACUUGAGUUGGAGCUCGAAGGUUAUGGGAACUACUCGAGCUCGAAUAAACCCCUGACUCCAAACUCGAACUCGACUCGAUGUAGUUGAAAAAACCUCGAGCUCAAAUUCGAGCUCGUACUCGUAUAAGAUCUGAGCUCGAUUACUCGAUUUAAUCUCAAAAAAUGAGCUUGAAAACCUUUGUUAAAUUAGAUCUUUUCCUUCUUAAUGUUUUCAAAUUAAGUUCUCUAAAAAACAAGAAAUAAGAAGUAUGAUUUUAUGAAAUCCCUGCUUUGUCCAAACAAAUAAAUAAAGGUGUUAGAAUGGUUCAUUGUAAAUUUAAUAAGUUGCUUAUCUGUAUUAGUAAUUUUCUAUAUAUUAUAUAUAAUUUUUUUUAUUUUAUUAUGAGAUACUCGAUAGAGCUAUAUUAUAUAUAUAUUUUUUUUUAUUUUUUUAUGAGAUACUCGAUAAAGUUCGUCGAGUUCUUGAGUAUCUCAUAACUAGACUUGAGCUUGACUCGCUAUUUCUAUUGCUCCUCGAGCUCGAUCAGAGCAAGCUCGAGCCAAACUGCUAAUCGAGUAGCUCCCGAUCUCGAGUCUAGCUACUUGGAUCAGAUCCACCCCGAAUAGGGAGGAUAUGAGAGUUGAACUAAUGAUCUCAACUUAAACCAUAUCCAAACUUAAAAAGGUGUUUUGGAGAUACUAUACUAUAAUAUUAUAUAUGAAAAACUUUUAUUAUAGUUAUUUGUUGAGGUGUUUUUGAAAUGUAAAAUCUUAUUGAAGUAUUUUUAAAAAAAUUAAAAAAAAUUCACCACCCAUCACCCCUUCUCUCCUCCCUCCUCCACCUCCACUGUCACCCUCCUCUUUCCUCCUCCCUCUUCUUCUUUCUCUCCUCCCCUUGUUCCUCCUCCUCCACCCUCCUCUCCCUUCCCCACCACCCGCUCCCCUAUGUUUGCAUUUUUUUAGUAUUUUUUGUAAGUUAUACUUGAGAUGUGUGUUUUUGAAUUAUAUUUAAAAUUUAUUAUUGUAGAUUCUACACAUAAAAAUAGUUUGUAAAAACAAAUGAUAAUCCAAAUAGAGCCAUUGGUUUUUGUUAACAAUCGAAAAACAAUUCAGGACAUGACCAUCUAUCCGGCAUCCAGCGUCUUUGCAGUUUCACCGGCAACAGCAAAGUGCGAUAGAAGGCCCAGAUUGGGCGAGCUUGGCUCGGGCCAACUUGGACCAUUAAUCUCAAAAUUUUGUAAAGUUAUGCUCAAAUAUAUUAAAUUUAAUAUUUUAACAAUUAAAUUACUUAACAAAUUUAAAUUUUAAAUUUUAAAUUUUCAAAUUUCAAUUUUAUCAAAGUAUUUAGUGAUAAGUUGAAUCCAGUCCGACCCUAUUUUUGAUCUAUGGUUUGACCGGACUUAGACCUCUGGAUCGAAAGUUACGCGGGCCUCCUGCAACGGAAUCCGUGGAGCUACAAACCGGGACAACCACGUGCGACUAAGGUUGACAAACCAGGACAAUUACGUGCUACUUGCUUAAUACAGAGAGCAGGGGAUGCUAGGGAUUGGUUUGUACGACAUUCCAGAAAUUUUUUAUCAACUCUUUGAUCCAGCAUUAUUCGCCGCCAGGGAUCUGUUUUUGUUUUUAGUUUUUUUUUUCUCCUGAAGAAGCAAAUGAAGAAGAAGAAUAUUUACUAUGGUGUAUCAUUUUGGCAGAAUUUAACACUUAAUAACAUGCAUUUUUUUUUUAUUCAGGGGGAACAUGCAUUCUUACAUGUACAAAAAGGAAAAAAAAAACCACAAUUUCAUAUACAGAUCUCUGUAAUAGUAGUACUAGUAAUCAAAUUCUAGGAGGCUAGCAGCUAGAUAUAUGUAAUAUACAUAAAAGAGAAAAGGAAAACGAAAAAGAAAGAAAAAUAUUUGAAAAUUGCUAAAACAGAAUAAGAGGGAGGCCGGGGGCUAACAUUGGGCUUGCAGGAUCUUAUUAGUUGACGGAUGGAUUCUAGUACGAAAAGUGUGCAUGGAUCAGGACUGAGGAAGAGGGCAUGUGAUGUCGCGAGAAGCACGAGGAGGAGGGGGAGGCGGAGGCGGAGGAAGAGAAGGAGAAGAAGAAGCAAAGGGAAGAUUACGGAGAAUGAGAAAACGAACCCGCGGAUGGAAGGGGAGGGGAGCCUGGUUGAACAUAUGCUCCAGCACCCUAGCCACCAACACCGUGUACUCCUCCAACAGCUCCGCCACUAUGGCCACCAGUAUCAUACUAGUAUCAGCAGUUGUUUUGUGUACCGAAUUGCGAAACAACUAGAGUAGAAUAUUAUAUAAUUAGCCAAAGAUCCGAGGACAGGAGUCGUGUGGAUUAUGAGGUGGAGUUGGAUGUAGAAGUAGGAAGUAGAAGCAGCUUAAUUCCAAUUGAGAAUUGCGACCGUUCUGGGAAAUUCCGUCUGCGGCUCCACCGAACUACUACUACUAGUACUAUAUUGGGGUGUGGAUUGGGGGACUGCUAAUACUAAUAAAUAUAAAAGAAAAUUACAAUGUAUAAAUCUCAGUCAACUUCCAAAGCCUGCCUGGGAUUUUAUAUCAGUAGGAGUAUAUAUUCAGGAAACGUGCCAUGGUGUAGCAGUAGCAGCUACGGCUAAAUCCAUGGGCUGGGCAGGGCAGCCGGAGAUGGAAGUGGUGGUGGUGGUGGUAUUCAAAUCCAUGUCCUGCUUCUUUUUUUCAAUUGGGGAUGGUGGGCUUCUAACUAUCUGUCCGCUGGAGCAACUAGUAAGCAGCAGCAGUCACUCUGGAAUUUUCUAGGUCGGGGGGUGGGGGCAGCGAAAAAUGUAUAAUUUAUUUAUUUAUUAUUGGUAGAAUAUGAAUGGAUCAUAAUUAGAUUACUACGUAAUUAGUAGUGCAUCCGUGACUGCUGACUAUAUUGUAUUAGUAAUUAUCAUCAU
Molecule: long non-coding RNA, 17220 nt
Filed under: Coffea arabica (coffee)
Lineage: Eukaryota; Viridiplantae; Streptophyta; Magnoliopsida; Gentianales; Rubiaceae
Description: long non-coding RNA (CARA_LNC005819)
Source: RNAcentral